UAGUCCUUGUGUUUUUGACUGCAGUGGAAUCGGAUAACGUCAGUUUGGGGCACUUGGCGCCUAACUUGCAAGCUAGCGACGAUGUUAGCACGUCAUUAUGCUUGUGACUGAGGCCAUUAUCACUUAAUCAACCAGCUGCAUUGUUUUGAGUCUGGGGCUGCUUGCUCUUCUGUGCUCUUCUUUUCCAAUAGGCUUAAGAGGAGGGGAAGUAGCGACUUUCUUCAACCUCCAAACACAACUCGGGAUAUGGAGAGUUGCUGAAGGCCAUGUCAUCACUCCUACAAUCACCUGACUCACUUGAUACCAUCAUUUAAGCUGAACUUUGAAACACCAGCAUGAAUCAGGAGAUGGCUGCUUCAAGGAGAUUUGUGCUUCGUGUAUUUGUUGCCACAGAUGUUGCUAUGAAGCUGACUCUAACUGAGCGACCACAGUCAGUUGAAGAACGUUUCAAGCCAAGACUUGAUGGUGAAUUCACAUUGCAGUAUGAGGAUCCUAACUUUGAUGGACAACUAAGCCCAAUAAUUUUGGGCUCUGUCUUACGCUUGUCUCUUAGUUUUCCCUUCUCUCAUUUAAAUAAAGUGUCUAAAAAUGUCACAUUUAUAGUUCGAUGUUUCCUCAAAUCUACAGAGAUUAUCCUGAAGUUGUUGUUUUCUGUUUAGCUUCUGGUUGGCAAGUUUAGGUACAUGUUAUUAUCACAUGAUUAGUCAUGAAUCUGAUUAUUCAAAUCUGGGUUGUUUUUUGUUUGUUUGUUUUUUUGUUUUUUUUUGUUUUGCAGAUUGACUUACUCUAUGAAUUGAUUGAAAAUAUCUCAAUAUAUUGAUAAUUUCUAUAUUGCCAG
This is a long non-coding RNA of Cheilinus undulatus (humphead wrasse), 838 nucleotides long. RefSeq lists it as uncharacterized. Lineage: Eukaryota; Metazoa; Chordata; Actinopteri; Labriformes; Labridae. The record is from RefSeq and is a predicted model, not a curated record. The transcript is spliced from 4 exons.